This 457-nucleotide ribosomal RNA is filed under the name Szepligetella sp. DERV056. RNAcentral's name for it is "partial 16S ribosomal RNA". Lineage: Eukaryota; Metazoa; Arthropoda; Insecta; Hymenoptera; Evaniidae. The record is from RNAcentral.
AUCAAAAACAUGUCUUUAAGUGAAAAAUCUAAGGUCUGGUCUGCUCAAUGAUUUAUUAAUUAAAUAGCUGCAGUAUUUUAACUGUACAAAGGUAGCAUAAUAAAUAGUUUAUUAAUUGUAAACUGGAAUGAAUGAUCUGAUAAGAGAUUAACUGUUUCUUUUUAAAGUGUAUAAUUUAAAUUUUAAGUAAAAAUGCUUAAGUGAUUGUAAGGGACGAGAAGACCCUAUAGAUUUUGAUAAUUUGUUUGGGUUUAUGAAUUUAUUUAUUUUAAAAAUCUAUUUAAAUUAUUUUAAUGGGGCAUUAUAAAAAUAAUUAAAUUUUUUAUUUAAAUUACACUAAUUAGUGGCUUGAAUUUAAUAAUGAAAUUGUUAAGGAAAAUAAAAAUACCUUAGGGAUAACAGCAUAAUAAUUUUUUUAAGAUCCUAUUUUAAAAAUUGAUUGUGACCUCGAUGUUGA